UACGUAGGUGGCAAGCGUUGUCCGGAUUUACUGGGCGUAAAGGGCGUGCAGGCGGUCUGUUAAGUGCAGGGUGAAAGCUCCCGGCUCAACUGGGAGAGGUCCUUGCAUACUGGCGGACUUGAGGGGGGUAGAGGAAAGUGGAAUUCCCGGUGUAGUGGUGAUAUGCGUAGAUAUCGGGAGGAACACCAGUGGCGAAGGCGGUUCUCUGGGCCUUACCUGACGCUGAGACGCGAAAGCGUGGGGAGCGAACCGG
Molecule: ribosomal RNA, 253 nt
Filed under: uncultured bacterium
Lineage: Bacteria
Description: partial 16S ribosomal RNA
Rfam family: Bacterial small subunit ribosomal RNA
Source: RNAcentral